AUGCGAUACGUAAUGUGAAUUGCAGAAUUCAGUGAAUCAUCGAAUCUUUGAACGCAUCUUGCGCUCUCUGGUAUUCCGGAGAGCAUGUCUGUUUGAGUGUCAUGAAUUCUUCAACCCAACUGUUUCUUGUAAACAGCUGGUGUUUGGAUUCUGAGCGCUGCUGGCUUCGUGCCUAGCUCGUUCGUAAUACAUCAGCAUCCCUAAUACAAGUCUGGAUUGACUUGGCGUAAUAGACUAUUCGCUAAGGAUUCAAUGUUCUGCAUUGAGCCAACUUAAUUAAGGAAGCUUCUAAUUGAAAAGUCUACCUUUAGAUUAGAUCUCAAAUCAGGCAGGAUUACCCGCUGAACUUAA
This 351-nucleotide unclassified non-coding RNA is filed under the name uncultured Sporobolomyces. RNAcentral's name for it is "partial contains 5.8S ribosomal RNA, internal transcribed spacer 2, and large subunit ribosomal RNA". The stretch from base 1 to 102 matches the Rfam family "5.8S ribosomal RNA", at positions 53 to 154 of the family's 154-position model. Lineage: Eukaryota; Fungi; Basidiomycota. The record is from RNAcentral.